GGUAAAAUGGCUGAUUUAAAGCGUUAGAUUGUAAAUCUAUUUAUGAAGGUUUUCUUCUUUUACCA
This 65-nucleotide transfer RNA is filed under the name Scolytinae sp. BMNH 1039994. RNAcentral describes it as "tRNA-Tyr". It matches the Rfam family "tRNA". From Rfam's summary of the family: Transfer RNA (tRNA) molecules are approximately 80 nucleotides in length. Their secondary structure includes four short double-helical elements and three loops (D, anti-codon, and T loops). Lineage: Eukaryota; Metazoa; Arthropoda; Insecta; Coleoptera; Curculionidae. The record is from RNAcentral.